Molecule: transfer RNA, 70 nt
Filed under: Acinetobacter baumannii
Lineage: Bacteria; Pseudomonadati; Pseudomonadota; Gammaproteobacteria; Moraxellales; Moraxellaceae
Description: tRNA-Gly
Rfam family: tRNA
About the family: Transfer RNA (tRNA) molecules are approximately 80 nucleotides in length. Their secondary structure includes four short double-helical elements and three loops (D, anti-codon, and T loops).
Source: RNAcentral
GCGGGAAUAGCUCAGUUGGUAGAGCAUAACCUUGCCAAGGUUGGGGUCGCGAGUCUCGUUUCCCGCUCCA